CCCACAAUAAAACAGAAAAAGCUCUUACAUGGCUGGGGCAUGAGCCUGUACUCAUGCUGCAUGAAAACGAGAUUUUAUUUUUUUGGCUCAUUACACUUGAGUAAUACAGCUUCAUUCUCACAAAACUGCUGAGCCCUUCCUACAACGUCUGUUAACUGGUGUUCAGCAGAACAUCAUUGUUGUUCAUUCUGCAGUGAAGCAAAGGGCCAAAUAGCAAUGCAUUUAAAGUCAUAGCACCCUACAUUUUCAAUUAAGUGAGACAGCCAAGCAAUUCCUGUGGGGACCCAUCUCUACUAGUUCCUGAAGCCAGUAGAGAGGACAGCAAGCCGAGAAGAUAAGUGCUACCCUUCUUAGAUUUUUUUCAUCAACAUACAAACAGUCCGGUUAUGCAGAUGGGAAAACUUCAGCCACAAUGUUCCCUGGUCCUUAGGGAGCCAGACACUGAUACUAAUCCUGUCAUCAUGCCACCCACUGCCUUUAAUUAAAGGACGCUGUUGGUUCCAAGCUCACCAGAAAGCAUAAGGGGCAGAAUAGUUGACACAGAGCCCCCAGUGGGCAUAGACCACACAUGCAUUGCACAUAUGGCAAUUCAAGGGGACUCAAAGGGAACAGGGAUGGAGAGAAUGGCCAGACCGAUGCCAUUCACUCUAUUCUCAGUGGUCAAUUGAGAGUAGCACCCAUCUUCAGCGACUGGCCAUUUGUGCCCUGUCCAAGAUGAAUAAGAUAAGGGCAUGUAAAAGAAAAACCAGUUAUAAAGCCCUAAGCAAAAUCAUUUUCAAAGCCAGUUGAUUGAUGUGUUUGCCUGCUUCUUUGUAGGAAGUGGCAUACUCUAGAUAGGUGGCUUUCAAUAGAUUAGUUGGCAGUGGCACUCGUUCUCAGAGUCCUUCAAAAGUUCCUAAGAUAUUAACCAGGCAAAACCAGGGCGUCCCUAAUUGAAAUUAGGAUGAAGAUGAGAAUCCCACUCACAUGGUGUCUUUUCACCACCUGGUAUUAAUUGAAUUGUGCCCCGCCCCGCAAGGUACAUUAAAAUCCUAACACCCGGUACCUACCUGUAAAUGUGAUCUUUGUGGGGGAAAGAGUCUUUGCAGAUGUAAUUAGUCGAGCUGAGGUCAUACUAGAGGAGGGGGACCUGUAAUCCAAUAUGAACUGCUGUCCUUAUAAGAAGAGAGAAUCACCAGGGAAGAGAAUGCCAUGUGAAGACAACACUGAGGUAAGAUGGCCAUGUGAAGACAGAGGCAGAGAUUGGAGUGAUGUUGAUACAAGCCAAGGAACAUCUAGAGCCCCAAGAAACUGCAAAAGGCCACAAAGGAUCCUCUGCUAGAGGCAUUAGAGGGAGCGCGGUCCUGCCAACACCUUGAUUUUGGAUUUCUAACCUCCAGAACUAGAACUGAGAUGAUACAUUUUUGUCAUUGUAAGUCACCCAGUUUGUAGUAUUUUGUUGUAGCAGCCCUACAAAAGUAAUACACCCCCAAACCUACUGAACCCCAAAGACGACCUGAACCAUCCUAGUACUCCCAAGAACCUAAUUGGAAAAACACUAGUACAGAUCAAAAAUCCUGAGUUUGUAGUUUGAUAGAUGUUUCAAGUCCUGGAUUUACUGGUUAUUCCUUAUGCAAUCUCUGAUGAGUUUCAUAUUCUAUCAGGGCCAAAACUUAGCCUCUUGCUUUUUAAAAAAAAGGCAGGAGAGAAAAAGGGGGCAGGAGAGGUGAAUUUAUUCACUUAAUUUACCUAACAGUUUCAUGAAAUCUUCUGUGUGGGCCUACUCUGAGCACAUGUGCAUCAUACUCCAAAUCAUUAAGUAGCUGUCUGACCUCCCAACCAGAAUCCCCAAUUGGCCAGUUGUCUAGCCAGCCACUUUUUCUGUCUACCACUGCAGAUUUCCAGCCUGCAGCAGGCCUGAGUCUCUGGAAGAGAAAAGAUCUGACAUUAAAUCAAGUUCAAGUUGGAUCAUUCUAAUUUCUGAUUCAAGACUGUACUGCUAUGUAAGGUGACUACUGAACGUUUCUAAUAUAUGAGGAUGACCAGAAAAGUUGCAGGGUGGGUUGGGGUUCAUAUUUGGGACUAAGGGAAGGUUACUGAAUAAAUUUUAAAGGGAUAGUAGAAAACUAAAAGUGACAUCUGUUUUAACUAUGGCCUGAGUUAGGCUUGUUAGAUAUACAAGUUACAAGCAUUAAACAGAAGAUGUCUCUUACACUUCUGGGGGGAGAAUGUAGAUUGGGCUGUUGAAUAGACAAAGCUGGAGGUCACAGAGAGGGAUUCACAUCUAGGAGUGUCAGCAUAGAGAUGGUAUUUAAAUCCCUAGACUGGAUGCGAUUACCUAAGGAGGCACCAUAGCAAAGAAAGGAAGUCUGAGGGUCUGUAGGAGUCUUCCAGGGCUGCCAUAACAAAGUACCAUAACAAAUUCUGGGAAGCUUAAGGAACCAGAAUUUAUGUUCUCAGAGUUCUGGAGGCUGGAUGUCCAAUGUCAAGGCAUCAGCAAGGAUUAGUUUCCUCUCCUUAGCUUAUAGAUGGCAGUCUUCCUUUGUCUUCACAACAUCUUCCUCCUGUGUGUGCCUGCAUCUUAAUCUCUUAUUAUAAGGACACCAGUCAUAUUGGAUCGGGGUGUACCCCGAUGACCUGAUUUUACCUUAGUAACCUGUUUAAAGGCCCUACCUCCAAAUACAGUCUCUUUUUUGGGUACCAGGAGUUAGGACUUCAACAUGAAUUUUAGGGGGACCCAAUCCCGCCCAUAACAGUCUGUCUCCCUGGUACAGGGGCGUUGUAGAAUAACCUUUCAUAGAACAGUAAUGGUGAGCCCUGUGCCUGCCUGAACCCUAACCAAGACAAUCAAUUCUGAGUAUUCUUCCUUCCCAAAGCUCAGAAACACACAACAGCCAUGCAUCCAGAGUUUCAGGGAGGUCCACUUUUCUGAAUCAGCUUGUGGAAGGAAGGAAGGAAGGAAGGAAGGAAGGAAGGAAGGAAGGAAGGAAGGAAGGAAGGAAGGAAGGAAACAGGCACCACAAAUAUUGUUACCUUAAAUUAUAGUUUGCAGCCUGGAAGCUCACAGCUAGAAAACAUCUCCAGCCACCCCAGCUCAGCAACUUACUUUCAUGAAAGAUCACUACCUCCAAAAAGUAUGUUUUGACCUCACACUCGUUAGGAUGGCUGCUACCCAAAA
This 3157-nucleotide long non-coding RNA is filed under the name Canis lupus familiaris (dog). RNAcentral's name for it is "lncRNA (ENSCAFG00845023934.1)". Lineage: Eukaryota; Metazoa; Chordata; Mammalia; Carnivora; Canidae. The record is from RNAcentral.